UUGCUUGGUGGAUCAGUGGCGAACGGGUGAGUAACACGUGAGCAACCUGCCCUGGACUCUGGGAUAAGCGCUGGAAACGGUGUCUAAUACUGGAUAUGAGCCUCUUCCGCAUGGUGGGGGUUGGAAAGAUUUUUCGGUCUGGGAUGGGCUCGCGGCCUAUCAGCUUGUUGGUGAGGUAAUGGCUCACCAAGGCGUCGACGGGUAGCCGGCCUGAGAGGGUGACCGGCCACACUGGGACUGAGACACGGCCCAGACUCCUACGGGAGGCAGCAGUGGGGAAUAUUGCACAAUGGGCGGAAGCCUGAUGCAGCAACGCCGCGUGAGGGAUGACGGCCUUCGGGUUGUAAACCUCUUUUAGCAGGGAAGAAGCGGAAGUGACGGUACCUGCAGAAAAAGCGCCGGCUAACUACGUGCCAGCAGCCGCGGUAAUACGUAGGGCGCAAGCGUUAUCCGGAAUUAUUGGGCGUAAAGAGCUCGUAGGCGGUUUGUCGCGUCUGCUGUGAAAUCCCGAGGCUCAACCUCGGGCCUGCAGUGGGUACGGGCAGACUAGAGUGCGGUAGGGGAGAUUGGAAUUCCUGGUGUAGCGGUGGAAUGCGCAGAUAUCAGGAGGAACACCGAUGGCGAAGGCAGAUCUCUGGGCCGUAACUGACGCUGAGGAGCGAAAGGGUGGGGAGCAAACAGGCUUAGAUACCCUGGUAGUCCACCCCGUAAACGUUGGGAACUAGUUGUGGGG
RNAcentral lists this ribosomal RNA (733 nucleotides) under Microbacterium aurantiacum. RNAcentral's name for it is "partial 16S ribosomal RNA". It matches the Rfam family "Bacterial small subunit ribosomal RNA", at positions 80 to 827 of the family's 1533-position model. Lineage: Bacteria; Bacillati; Actinomycetota; Actinomycetes; Micrococcales; Microbacteriaceae. The record is from RNAcentral.